Eucalyptus grandis is the source of this 478-nucleotide long non-coding RNA. RefSeq lists it as uncharacterized. The record is from RefSeq and is a predicted model, not a curated record. NCBI's taxonomy places the organism in Eukaryota, Viridiplantae, Streptophyta, Magnoliopsida, Myrtales, Myrtaceae. The transcript is spliced from 3 exons.
CAAGGAAGAGCUUUAAGUGUGGAGCUGAGAAGAAGACUAAUGCUAGUGCUAAUGCCAAUGCUCAUGAUCAUAAGACCGAUGCAGAAAAAGCAGAAGAGGCUAUCAUUAUUAGCACACCGGAAAGACCAAACAUGGAGGCCGGAGGGAUGACAGCGGAGCAUUCUAACGACACACGAGCAAAUCAUCAGAAUACUAUCACCACCACCAUCUCCGGUGUCGUCAAUGACGGCAAAUGCACCAUAGCCGGUGGCAAAUGCAUCGUUCGGAGGAGUGGCUCAAGACGUACUUCCCUUUCAUGGAUUCUUGAACCUAAGAGGAUUUUCGUCUUCUUUGCUACCUUAUCAAGCAUGGGAACAAUCCUUCUCAUAUAUUUCACUCUUUCUAUCACCAAACCCCAACCGGAUGGCAAUUCCCCUUGAUCUUGAACCAUCAAGUUGCCUUCAUGUUCGGACAUUGAAACACACCCAAUUAGUCCUCC